AAGUCGUAACAAGGUUUCCGUAGGUGAACCUGCGGAAGGAUCAUUAGCGAAGUUCGGAAUGCCGGUUCGGUGCUGCAGCUGCCCAGCGAUGGGAUGUGCUCGUCCGGGCCGGUGUCCCUUCACUAUUCCACCCCACUGUGAACCAAGCGUGCGAGCAGAAGAGAGAUCGGAAGCUCGCAUGCACACUUUAACAUACCCCUUAUGAAGUAUCUGAAUGUACCUUGCGUUAACUCGCACAAAUACAACUUUCAACAACGGAUCUCUUGGCUCUC
This 272-nucleotide unclassified non-coding RNA is filed under the name Peniophora laxitexta. RNAcentral describes it as "partial internal transcribed spacer region". The stretch from base 1 to 46 matches the Rfam family "Eukaryotic small subunit ribosomal RNA", at positions 1786 to 1831 of the family's 1831-position model. Lineage: Eukaryota; Fungi; Basidiomycota; Agaricomycetes; Russulales; Peniophoraceae. The record is from RNAcentral.